RNAcentral lists this long non-coding RNA (346 nucleotides) under Rattus norvegicus (Norway rat). RNAcentral describes it as "long non-coding RNA NONRATT011513". Lineage: Eukaryota; Metazoa; Chordata; Mammalia; Rodentia; Muridae. The record is from RNAcentral.
GGGAUGCUGCCAGACCCCAAGAAUGUGCACAUUAUUGUGAGCUGGAUGAUUGCCCAGAGUGUGACAGCCGUGGCGGGGCUGGUGUCCUAUCCAUUUGACACUGUCCGUCGUAGGAUGAUGAUGCAGUCUGGCCGGAAAGGGGGUAAGCACGAACUCCCCAAGUGUGAAUCUUAGCUUUUAUCCCCAGAGAACAAGCACUUGGAAGUGCCUAGAGGCCUUGUGUUUUCCAAGUCGAAAGGCAGAAGUUUCUCUGUAAGGACUGCAGAAACGGACACUAUAAUUUCUCCUUUAGCUUUUUUCCUUAUGGGAUUUCUUUCUUCUUAUUAAAGAAAUUGUAAGAACGUAA